AAAAAAAUGCUUGGAUAGUAAUAGCUCUGUUCUUACAAAAACUGAGGAUGUACAUAUUAACAGAUCUGGCAUGCUUGAGGUCUUUCUUAGCCAGACUUUUGCAGGAAAUGAGGCUUAUAUAACUGCGCCAUCUGUUUUCCCAUUAAUUCCUAGAGGAAAGUAGCCAGUGGGGUCAAACUUGACGGAGUCAAGAUUUCAUCAAAUUCAUACAAGCUUCAUGAAAAGAGGCUAGAAAAGGGAGUAAUACAGUCCUCACUGAGAUGUACAGAGAAGCGGUCUCAAGUACUCCUGCCUCCUUUGUCCCAGUACUGUCACUUGUCUGGGGGGUGAACCAGGAGCUAAACCAGCCUGUAAGAGCCCUGCAAGGUGUGGGGGGAGAGGGAAGAAUGAAUAUUUCCUUUGGGAAUAUAAACUAGCACGAAGGGGGAGUGUGGGAGCAGGGGCACUAGCUGUUAAUACCAAAUCAUGUUUUUACUGUGCCAAGCAGCUCCUUGGGCUUCAAAUCAGAAAAAGGGGGACAGCAAAACCCUCGUCUCCCAUAAGGAAAAAUAGCCAGGGAAUAGCUGUGAUUUGUCUUACUCUUAACCUCCAAAAUAUUUUCCCUGAGUUCUGUGAAAUUGGUCCUUUUUCUGAAGUGAUUUGAGGUGGGGGAUGGAAAAGAGGAAUAAUGACAACUGUACAGAUAUCCAAGUAAGAAGCAAUGUCAGUAUUAGAAGGAUUUUUCAAUUUUCAAUCUAGAUAAUACCAUCCACUACCUGAAAAGUACUUCCACCAAAUAAAGAGCUUUUGUGUGCAUUCUUGCUGUCCCACAGCUUUUCUCAUUCUGAGCAUGUAAACAGUUCUGCGUUCCUGGCUAGCUGAGUCAUUGCUUUUCACUGAGCAUCUGCCACAG
This 892-nucleotide long non-coding RNA is filed under the name Gallus gallus (chicken). RNAcentral's name for it is "long non-coding RNA NONGGAT002835". The record is from RNAcentral. Lineage: Eukaryota; Metazoa; Chordata; Aves; Galliformes; Phasianidae.